CAGUCGCCACGGUAAUACAGAGGGUGCGAGCGUUAAUCGGAUUUACUGGGCGUAAAGCGUGCGUAGGCGGCUUCUUAAGUCGGAUGUGAAAUCCCUGAGCUUAACUUAGGAAUUGCAUUCGAUACUGGGAAGCUAGAGUAUGGGAGAGGAUGGUAGAAUUCCAGGUGUAGCGGUGAAAUGCGUAGAGAUCUGGAGGAAUACCGAUGGCGAAGGCAGCCAUCUGGCCUAAUACUGACGCUGAGGUACGAAAGCAUGGGGAGCAAACAGGAUUAGAUACCCCGGUAGUCCCUGUCUCUUAUAU
This 301-nucleotide ribosomal RNA is filed under the name uncultured bacterium. Its description in RNAcentral is "partial 16S ribosomal RNA". It matches the Rfam family "Bacterial small subunit ribosomal RNA", at positions 509 to 809 of the family's 1533-position model. The record is from RNAcentral.